CAGUAGCCGCGGUAAUACAGAGGGUGCAAGCGUUAAUCGGAAUUACUGGGCGUAAAGCGCGCGUAGGUGGUUUGUUAAGUUGGAUGUGAAAUCCCCGGGCUCAACCUGGGAACUGCAUCCAAAACUGGCAAGCUAGAGUAUGGUAGAGGGUGGUGGAAUUUCCUGUGUAGCGGUGAAAUGCGUAGAUAUAGGAAGGAACACCAGUGGCGAAGGCGACCACCUGGACUGAUACUGACACUGAGGUGCUAAAGCGUGGGGAGCAAACAGGAUUAGAUACCCCAGUAGUCCCUGUCUCUUAUAA
RNAcentral lists this ribosomal RNA (301 nucleotides) under uncultured bacterium. RNAcentral describes it as "partial 16S ribosomal RNA". It matches the Rfam family "Bacterial small subunit ribosomal RNA", at positions 509 to 809 of the family's 1533-position model. The record is from RNAcentral.